RNAcentral lists this ribosomal RNA (253 nucleotides) under uncultured bacterium. Its description in RNAcentral is "partial 16S ribosomal RNA". It matches the Rfam family "Bacterial small subunit ribosomal RNA", at positions 524 to 776 of the family's 1533-position model. The record is from RNAcentral.
UACGAAGGGGGCUAGCGUUGUUCGGAAUUACUGGGCGUAAAGGGCGCGUAGGCGGUCCCUCAAGUCAGGCGUGAAAGCCCCGGGCUCAACCUGGGAACCGCGCUUGAGACUGGUGGGCUAGAGUUCGGGAGAGGAUGGUGGAAUUCCCAGUGUAGAGGUGAAAUUCGUAGAUAUUGGGAAGAACACCGAUGGCGAAGGCAGCCAUCUGGACCGACACUGACGCUGAAGCGCGAAAGCGUGGGGAGCAAACAGG